Molecule: transfer RNA, 61 nt
Filed under: Acinetobacter baumannii 496487
Lineage: Bacteria; Pseudomonadati; Pseudomonadota; Gammaproteobacteria; Moraxellales; Moraxellaceae
Description: partial tRNA-Leu
Rfam family: tRNA
About the family: Transfer RNA (tRNA) molecules are approximately 80 nucleotides in length. Their secondary structure includes four short double-helical elements and three loops (D, anti-codon, and T loops).
Source: RNAcentral
CUGGUAGCUCGUCGGGCUCAUAACCCGAAGGUCGUUGGUUCAAAUCCAGCUCCCGCUACCA